RNAcentral lists this ribosomal RNA (492 nucleotides) under uncultured bacterium. RNAcentral describes it as "partial 16S ribosomal RNA". It matches the Rfam family "Bacterial small subunit ribosomal RNA", at positions 29 to 507 of the family's 1533-position model. The record is from RNAcentral.
AGUGAACGCUGGCGGUAGGCCUAACACAUGCAAGUCGAACGGCAGCACAGUAAGAGCUUGCUCUUACGGGUGGCGAGUGGCGGACGGGUGAGGAAUACAUCGGAAUCUACCUUUUCGUGGGGGAUAACGUAGGGAAACUUACGCUAAUACCGCAUACGACCUACGGGUGAAAGCAGGGGAUCUUCGGACCUUGCGCGAUUGAAUGAGCCGAUGUCGGAUUAGCUAGUUGGCGGGGUAAAGGCCCACCAAGGCGACGAUCCGUAGCUGGUCUGAGAGGAUGAUCAGCCACACUGGAACUGAGACACGGUCCAGGCUCCUACGGGAGGCAGCAGUGGGGAAUAUUGGACAAUGGGCGCAAGCCUGAUCCAGCCAUACCGCGUGGGUGAAGAAGGCCUUCGGGUUGUAAAGCCCUUUUGUUGGGAAAGAAAAGCAGCAGGUUAAUACCCCGCUGUUCUGACGGUACCCAAAGAAUAAGCACCGGCUAACUUCGUG